This 253-nucleotide ribosomal RNA is filed under the name uncultured bacterium. RNAcentral describes it as "partial 16S ribosomal RNA". It matches the Rfam family "Bacterial small subunit ribosomal RNA", at positions 524 to 776 of the family's 1533-position model. The record is from RNAcentral.
UACAGAGGGUGCGAGCGUUAAUCGGAAUUACUGGGCGUAAAGCGCGCGUAGGCGGCUUUGCAAGUCGGGUGUGAAAUCCCCAGGCUUAACCUGGGAACUGCAUUCGAGACUGCAUUGCUAGAGUAUGGGAGAGGGAAGUGGAAUUUCCGGUGUAGCGGUGAAAUGCGUAGAUAUCUGGAGGAACACCGGUGGCGAAGGCGGUUCUCUGGGCAUUACCUGACGCUGAGGAGCGAAAGUGUGGGGAGCGAACAGG